AACGAACGCUGGCGGCAUGCCUAACACAUGCAAGUCGAACGAGACCUUCGGGUCUAGUGGCGCACGGGUGCGUAACGCGUGGGAACCUGCCCUUAGGUUCGGAAUAACUCCCCGAAAGGGGUGCUAAUACCGGAUAAUGUCUUCGGACCAAAGAUUUAUCGCUUUUGGAUGGGCCCGCGUUGGAUUAGCUAGUUGGUAGGGUAAAAGCCUACCAAGGCGACGAUCCAUAGCUGGUCUGAGAGGAUGCUCAGCCACACUGGGACUGAGACACGGCCCAGACUCCUACGGGAGGCAGCAGUGGGGAAUAUUGGACAAUGGGCGAAAGCCUGAUACAGCAAUGCCGCGUGAGUGAUGAAGGCCUUAGGGUUGUAAAGCUCUUUUACCCGGGAUGAUAAUGACAGUACCGGGAGAAUAAGCUCCGGCUAACUCCGUG
This 433-nucleotide ribosomal RNA is filed under the name uncultured bacterium. RNAcentral describes it as "partial 16S ribosomal RNA". It matches the Rfam family "Bacterial small subunit ribosomal RNA", at positions 29 to 507 of the family's 1533-position model. The record is from RNAcentral.